This 369-nucleotide ribosomal RNA is filed under the name uncultured bacterium. Its description in RNAcentral is "bacterial SSU rRNA". It matches the Rfam family "Bacterial small subunit ribosomal RNA", at positions 527 to 896 of the family's 1533-position model. RNAcentral also lists the same sequence under 1 other name. The record is from RNAcentral.
GUAGGGUGCAAGCGUUAAUCGGAAUUACUGGGCGUAAAGCGUGCGCAGGCGGCUUUGCAAGACAGAUGUGAAAUCCCCGGGCUCAACCUGGGAACUGCAUUUGUGACUGCAUGGCUAGAGUACGGUAGAGGGGGAUGGAAUUCCGCGUGUAGCAGUGAAAUGCGUAGAUAUGCGGAGGAACACCGAUGGCGAAGGCAAUCCCCUGGACCUGUACUGACGCUCAUGCACGAAAGCGUGGGGAGCAAACAGGAUUAGAUACCCUGGUAGUCCACGCCCUAAACGAUGUCAACUGGUUGUUGGACGGCUUGCUGUUCAGUAACGAAGCUAACGCGUGAAGUUGACCGCCUGGGGAGUACGGCCGCAAGGUUG